This 156-nucleotide unclassified non-coding RNA is filed under the name uncultured Chaetothyriales. Its description in RNAcentral is "sequence contains ITS2". The record is from RNAcentral. Lineage: Eukaryota; Fungi; Ascomycota; Eurotiomycetes; Chaetothyriales.
UCAUCCCUCAAGCCCGGCUUGUCCUUGAACCUCUUGUCGUCAAAGACGGGUUCGAAAGAUAAUGACGGUGUCGUGUCGACCCUAGAUUGCAACGAGCUUUUUACAGCACGCAUUUUAGCGGUUGGCCGGCCCGGUCUUUAACCUUAAUUUUUCUAU